RNAcentral lists this ribosomal RNA (330 nucleotides) under uncultured soil bacterium. RNAcentral's name for it is "bacterial SSU rRNA". It matches the Rfam family "Bacterial small subunit ribosomal RNA", at positions 26 to 350 of the family's 1533-position model. The record is from RNAcentral.
AGAUUGAACGCUGGCGGCAUGCUUUACACAUGCAAGUCGAACGGUAACAGGCCGCAAGGUGCUGACGAGUGGCGAACGGGUGAGUAAUGUAUCGGAACGUGCCCAGUCGUGGGGGAUAACGCAGCGAAAGCUGCGCUAAUACCGCAUACGAUCUAUGGAUGAAAGCGGGGGACCGUAAGGCCUCGCGCGAUUGGAGCGGCCGAUAUCAGAUUAGGUAGUUGGUAGGGGUAAAGGCUCACCAAGCCAACGAUCUGUAGCUGGUCUGAGGAGGACCGACCAGCCACACGUCGGGACUAGGACGACACCGGCCCAGACCUCCGACGGGAGGCA